AACGCACAUUGCGCCCCUUGGUAUUCCGAGGGGCAUGCCUGUUCGAGCGUCAUUACAACCCUCAAGCACUGCUUGGUAUUGGGCUCCGCUGCUUAUACAGCGGGCCUUAAAAUUAGUGGCGGUGUCAUUAGGCCCUGAGCGUAGUAAAUAUCCUCGCUAUAGGGACUUGGUGAUUACUGGCCAGCAACCCCCAACUUUCUAAGUUUGACCUCGGAUCAGGUAGGGAUACCCGCUGAACUUAA
This 242-nucleotide unclassified non-coding RNA is filed under the name Helotiales sp. Its description in RNAcentral is "partial contains 5.8S ribosomal RNA, internal transcribed spacer 2, and large subunit ribosomal RNA". The stretch from base 1 to 52 matches the Rfam family "5.8S ribosomal RNA", at positions 103 to 154 of the family's 154-position model. The record is from RNAcentral. RNAcentral also lists the same sequence under 2 other names. Lineage: Eukaryota; Fungi; Ascomycota; Leotiomycetes; Helotiales.